This 406-nucleotide ribosomal RNA is filed under the name uncultured bacterium. Its description in RNAcentral is "partial 16S ribosomal RNA". It matches the Rfam family "Bacterial small subunit ribosomal RNA", at positions 30 to 526 of the family's 1533-position model. The record is from RNAcentral.
AUUGAACGCUGGCGGCAGGCCUAACACAUGCAAGUCGAACGAGUGGCGGACGGGUGAGUAAUGUCUGGGAAACUGCCUGAUGGAGGGGGAUAACUACUGGAAACGGUAGCUAAUACCGCAUACCAUCGGAUGUGCCCAGAGGGGAUUAGCUUGUAGGUGGGGUAACGGCUCACCAAGGCGACGAUCCCUAGCUGGUCUGAGAGGAUGACCAGCCACACUGGAACUGAGACACGGUCCAGACUCCUACGGGAGGCAGCAGUGGGGAAGAUUGGACAAUGGGCGCAAGCCUGAUGCAGCCAUGCCGCGUGUAUGAAGAAGGCCUUCGGGUUGUAAAGUACUUUCGGCGGGGAGGCGGUACUCGCAGAAGAAGCACCGGCUAACUCCGUGCCAGCAGCCGCGGUAAUUC